UACAGAGGGGGCAAGCGUUGUUCGGAAUUACUGGGCGUAAAGGGCGCGUAGGCGGCCUGCUAAGUCGAACGUGAAAUCCCUGGGCUCAACCCAGGAACUGCGUCCGAUACUGGUUGGCUUGAAUCCGGGAGAGGGAUGUGGAAUUCCAGGUGUAGCGGUGAAAUGCGUAGAUAUCUGGAGGAAAACCGGUGGCGAAGGCGACAUCCUGGACCGGUAUUGACGCUGAGGCGCGAAAGCUAGGGUAGCAAACGGG
RNAcentral lists this ribosomal RNA (253 nucleotides) under uncultured bacterium. RNAcentral's name for it is "partial 16S ribosomal RNA". It matches the Rfam family "Bacterial small subunit ribosomal RNA", at positions 524 to 776 of the family's 1533-position model. The record is from RNAcentral.